Molecule: ribosomal RNA, 465 nt
Filed under: Vreelandella stevensii
Lineage: Bacteria; Pseudomonadati; Pseudomonadota; Gammaproteobacteria; Oceanospirillales; Halomonadaceae
Description: partial 16S ribosomal RNA
Rfam family: Bacterial small subunit ribosomal RNA
Source: RNAcentral
CCUACGGGUGGCAGCAGUGGGGAAUAUUGGACAAUGGGGGCAACCCUGAUCCAGCCAUGCCGCGUGUGUGAAGAAGGCCCUCGGGUUGUAAAGCACUUUCAGUGAGGAAGAACGCCUGGUGGUUAAUACCCAUCAGGAAAGACAUCACUCACAGAAGAAGCACCGGCUAACUCCGUGCCAGCAGCCGCGGUAAUACGGAGGGUGCGAGCGUUAAUCGGAAUUACUGGGCGUAAAGCGCGCGUAGGUGGCUUGAUAAGCCGGUUGUGAAAGCCCCGGGCUCAACCUGGGAACGGCAUCCGGAACUGUCAAGCUAGAGUGCAGGAGAGGAAGGUAGAAUUCCCGGUGUAGCGGUGAAAUGCGUAGAGAUCGGGAGGAAUACCAGUGGCGAAGGCGGCCUUCUGGACUGACGCUGACGCUGAGGUGCGAAAGCGUGGGUAGCAAACAGGAUUAGAUACCCCGGUAGUC